Molecule: long non-coding RNA, 288 nt
Filed under: Ananas comosus (pineapple)
Lineage: Eukaryota; Viridiplantae; Streptophyta; Magnoliopsida; Poales; Bromeliaceae
Description: long non-coding RNA (ACOM_LNC003332)
Source: RNAcentral
ACCAGAAAAAUGAGGUUACAAGAAGGAGGAGGUGGCGGGGUCUCCGAGAGUGCGUUGAGAAAGAUCGUGCAUAAGAGCAACCGCUGCGGGGUCAGACUGGAUGGGACCGAGGCGAAGAAGUUCGCUGAGUUCGUGAGCUUAUGAGCGCUUGGAUGGGCUAGUGGCCUAUGUCGUGGACACCUUUUGGCUUUUUUUUUUGGGAGUUGUGUCUACGCUGUUGUGAUGUUGGGAGUCGUGUCUAAGUUGUUGUGAUGUUUAGUAUCUGUAGCUGGAAUGUUAGAGGGCUUA